Molecule: non-coding RNA, 4866 nt
Organism: Pelobates cultripes (western spadefoot toad)
Lineage: Eukaryota; Metazoa; Chordata; Amphibia; Anura; Pelobatidae
Source: the annotation of a GenBank genome assembly
CUGUGGCAGAAAUGCCUCUGCCACGUGUAGAGGGGCCUGCUUGCCAGCCUCCUGCCAAAAGACUAUGGACCCUUUAAAAACUUAUGUUAUUUAUGUACUUUUGUACUCCAGAAAGAGAGACCGACCAUUGACCCUAAUUCCCUGGAACUGUUUUGGGCAUAGGACCAUGUGUAUGGUUGGUCAAAAUUAUGACUUCCAUGGAAAUCCCGCACCCUGAACCAAUCUGGAUGAUAUUUGGAUAUGUUGGUCCCCCAGAUCGGGUAUAUCAGAAGAUAUGACUUUUGUAAGGUUUCCAUGUGUUUUGGGGGUCCAUUAACGGUUAUUGUAAAAUAUAUGUUUUCUGUGCCUGUAGAUAAUUGAGUUUAGUACAGUCCCUGAUUAAAUUAUCUCUCAGGCACAGGGGAGGGAUUAUCCUGUUUUGUGUGGGAGUGUCCUGGACCUGAGAACCAAUGUAAUUACAGUGUGUACUUUGUUACAGUCCCUUCUCAGGUCCAGUGGGGAAUGCCCUUGGAAUAUGUUAUGGAAAACCCCUUGCAUGGGGACUUGCAUAUAAGGCCUGUUGUGGCUACCAUUAAACAGUUCAACUUCACCCUCAACAUAGAGCCUCGUCUCGUGAUUGUAGGGAACAGCUAUACCAGCUAUAUCACUAGCUCUUGUAAGAGCUAUCCUGCUAUACUCUCUGGAGUAGGAGAGGUCUACCCACUGGAAGCUGGAUCCCUGACUUGGAUCCAGGGUGGGUGUAGGACAACGAGACUCCAGCCAAGCUGCUGUGGCUAAGGGUCUACAGUGCUGAUGGUGUCUGGUGGAGUGCUUGGAAGUACUCUGAGGUACUAGGAAGCAGUGAUUGGCUCAGGCAUCCAGUCGGGGUGCCAGGCGGUCCGUCACACACAUCUAUACAUACAUCCACACACAAGCACCAAUACAUGUACCUACACAUGUACCAAUGUACCUACACAUACAUAGACCUAUAUAUAUGUACACAUACACUUAUUCACAUAUAUAAGCAUGUAUGCAUAUAUGCACAUACUUUAUACAUACACACACACACACAUAUAUAUAUGUAUACGCAUACACAUACACACAUGAACUCAUAUACACAAAUAUAAAUGCACAGUCACAUAUAUAAGCACACAUGCAUACGAGUAUGGAAAAGUACUUUGUAUAUUGAUAGAAUAAACAUUUCAUUGGGAUGCAUUUUAAAAUGUUGACACAUAUAACAGAUCAGUAAGAUAAUGCUGGGGGAGUGUUCAUGUAAAGUUUUGGUAGUGGGACAGGAAACCCAAAUCAAUAUUAGUCCUCUAUUCUUGCUGUUAAACAUUUUGAUUAUUCUGGCUUCAAGAGUUUUUCUUUCUUGGGUAUUUUUAAAACCCCUUUUCAGUACUUUGAUUUUUAGGUCCUUGAUUGAGUGGCCAGGCUGGGUAAAAUGAUGUCCCGCAGGAGUGUAGUAGGAUUCUUCUUUGUGGUGUUUAAUGGAGUGUGCAUAUUCAUUCUGCCAUUUAAUUGCAGGGUUGUUUCCCCAACAUAGCAUCCUAGGUAGCAUUUGGUGGAUUGAAUCAUGUUUAUGACACUGCUGGAUGUGAGGAGUAUGAACCUUUAAUGCUGUAGGUUUUAUUGUUGUGUAUGGUUGUGUUGUCUGUGCAUAUGUGCUGGCACUGUUUGCAGGGAGGUUUUUUUGCAUUGACCCGUCCCAUUUUCUUUAUUCUUCCCAUCAGUGGGCAGCUUCCUGUUGAUUACUUUUUGUUGGAGGUUUGGUGGUUGUCUGAAGGCCAAAAUGGGUGUUUCGUAGAAAAUAUUUUUCAGAGUCUCAUCUUCUGUUAACAUUGGGUUGUAUUUGACCACAAGUGGUACUCAUGUACAUAUUUUUUUCUCUCUGUACUGUAGCAGGCGCGUGCAUGGAGUUUUUACUGCAGAGUUGAUUUGUUUGGUAAUAGUCUUUGGUUUGUAGCCUUUCUGUCUCAUAGAUGGGGAGAGUACAUUUAGAUGGGAAUUAGUCAUUAGGGUCAGAGCAUAUGCAAUGGUACCUAGUUGCUUGGCUGUUGAUGUUUAGUAUGGGAGGGGUGGAAGCUGGAGCUGUAAAGGCAACUGCAUAUGUCUGUGGGUUUUCUGUAAACUGAGGUGUGGAUUGUGCCAUUGUUACAUGUCACAGUGGUGUCCAGAAAAUUCACAAAUCUAGUAGAAUAUUACAUUUUUAGUUUAAUUGAUGGAUGGAAUGAGUUAAAACAGUCAUGGAAUUGUAUCAGUUUAUGUUCGGUUUCAUAGUUACAGUUACAUAGCUGAAAAGAGACUUGCGUCCAUCAAAUACAGCCUUCCUAACAUAUGUUUUUGCUGUUGAUCCAAAAGAAGGCAAAAAACCCCAGUCUGAAGCGCUUCCAAUUUUUCAACAAACUAGGAAAAAAUUCCUUCUUGACCCCAAAAUUGCAGUCAGAUGUCUCCUUGGAUCAAGCAGCUAUUACCCCACUAAUUAGAAAUUAUAUCCCUGUCUGUUAUGUUUUUGCAAGUAUUUAUCCAAUUGUAGUUUAAACAUCUGUAUAGACUCUGACAAAACCACCUAUUCAGGCAAAGAAUUCCAUAUCCUUAUUGCUCUUACUGUAAAAAAAACCUUUUCUUUGCCUUAGAUGAAAUCUCCUUUCUUCACGCCUAAAUGUGUGACCUCAUGUCCUAUGUAUAGCCCUGUUUAUGAAUAGAUGUCCAGAUAAUGGUUUAUACUGGCCCCGAAUAUAUUUGUAUAAUGUUAUCAUAUCCCCUCUCAGGCGCCGUUUUUCCAAACUAAAGAGAUUUAAAUUUUUUAACCUUUCUUCAUAACUAAAAUGCUCCAUUCCUUUUAUCAAUUUUGUAGCUCGUCUCUGCACUUUUACUAGUGCCAUGAUAUCUUUCUUUAGAACAGGUGCCCAAAAUUGCACAGCAUAUUCAAGGUGUGGUCUUACCAGCAAUUUAUAAAGAGGCAAAAUUAUAUUUUCAUCUUGAGACUUUAUAACCCUAUUUAUACAUUACAAAACCUUACUGGCCUUAGCAACGGCAGAUUGACAUUGCAUAUUGCUGCCUAAUUUGUUGUCUAUAACAAUUCCCAAAUCCUUCUCGUGUGUGAUUAUCCCUAGUUCACUACCAUUUAGGGUGUAAAUUGCUUGUGCAUUCUUAACCCCGAAGGGCAUAACUUUGCAUUUCUCCACGUUAAAUUUAAUCUGCCAUUUUAGUGCCUAGUUCCCCCAAUCUAUCCAAAUCCCUCUGCAGCAAGGCAAUAUCCUGCUCACAUUUUAUUACUUUACAAAGUUUUGUGUCAUCUGCAAACACUGAUACAUGGCUUUUGAUGCCCAUUUCAAGAUCAUUUAUAAAUAUGUUAAACAGAAGCGGUACCAAAACAGAACCCUGAGGGACACCACUUACCACUUUUGUCCAGCUUGAGAAUUUACCAUUAAUGACAACUCAUUGUACUCUAUCCUUAAGCCAAUGUUCUACCCAAGAACAAGAAUAUUAAUCUAGACCAAUAUCUUUUAGUUUGAAGACUAACCUAUUGUGAGGAACCGUAUCAAAUGCCUUGGCAAAAUCCAAGUAGAUCACAUCCACUGCAACACACUGAUCUAUACUUCUACUUACUUCUUCGUAGAAUGCAAUUAGGUUAGCUUGACAUGACCUAUGUUUCAUAAAACCAUGCUGAUUAUUGCUAAUAACACAGUUCUUCCCAAUGAAUUCCUGAAUAUCAUCCCUUAAUAGCCGUUCAAAUAAUUUCCCAGUCACAGAAGUUAAGCUCACAGGUCUAUAAUUUCCAGGCAAGGAUUUUGAACCCUUUUUAAAUAUAGGAACAACAUCUGCCUUCCUCCAAUCCUCCGGUACAAUACCUGAAACAAAAGAAUCUUGAAAAAUUAAAUAUAGAGGUUCACUUAUUUCCCCAGUUAGCUCCUUAAGUACUCGUGGGUGGAUACCGUCAGGCCCCAGAGCUUUAUUUACAUUAAUUUUCUUUAAUAGUUGUAGCACCUUGUCUCGAGUUAUCCAGUCACAAGUUAUCUGCAAGUUUGUUGCAGCAAUCAUUUGCUUAUCUCUUGCCAUAGGACCCUCAUUAAUAUAUACUGAAGAAAAAUAGUUAUUUAAAAUUUCUGCCUUUUCCUGGUCUUCAUUGACUAACAGACCCAUCUCUGUUUUCAGUGUACCUAUACUUUAAUUUUUAGUUUUUUUAGAAUUGAUGUGCUUGAAAAAAAUGUUGGGGUUGGUUUUGCAUUUUUUGGCUAUCAAUUUCUCAUUUUCUAGUUUAGCCACUUUAAUUGCCUUUUUGCAAGUAUUAUUGGCUUCCUUAUAUCUUAUGUAGGAUGCCUCUGAUUUGUCUGAUUUAAAUGCUUUAAACCCCCUAAGGAUUGGCUUCCUUAUAUCUUAUAUAGGAUGCCUCUGAUUUGUCCGAUUUAAAUGCUUUAAAUGCCCUCUUCUUAUUUUUAAUCUCUUGUUUUACUUCUCUACUAAGCCACAAUGGUUUUAAAUUUUUUUUAUGUUUAUUACCCAAUGGUACAUACUGUGAAAUGUACCUUUCUAAUAUUUGUUUGAAUAGUUUCCAUUUUUCCUCAGUAUUUUUAUCACUAAGGAGUUUAUGCCAGUCGAUAUGUUGCAGAGCUGCCAUAAUCUUAUUAAAGUUGGCUUUUUUUAAAUUAUACGUUUUAAUAUACCCCACAUGCUUUUGCUUUUUUGAGUUUAUUUCAAAAGUUACCAUAUUGUGAUCACUAUUUCCCAAAUGCUCCCCUACUUGAAUGUUGGUUAAAAGAUCAUCAUUGUUUGUUAUGACAAGAUCAAGAAGCAUCCUUUCUAGUUCGUGUUUGUACCAGUUGUGACUAGUGAUGUCCCGAACGGUUCGCCGAACGGUUCGCCAAACGGUUCGCCAAACGGUUC